This 829-nucleotide ribosomal RNA is filed under the name uncultured Neocallimastigales. Its description in RNAcentral is "partial large subunit ribosomal RNA". It matches the Rfam family "Eukaryotic large subunit ribosomal RNA", at positions 1 to 616 of the family's 3401-position model. Lineage: Eukaryota; Fungi; Neocallimastigomycota; Neocallimastigomycetes; Neocallimastigales. The record is from RNAcentral.
CGCAUCUGUGCAUGCAGCAUAUCAAUAAGCGGAGGAAAAGAGGGCUAUUACCUACGCUUAGGAUGUUGAUGCAUAUCAAUAAGCGGAGGAAAAGAAACUAACAAGGAUUCCCCUAGUAACGGCGAGUGAAGCGGGAAGAGCUCAAAUUUGAAAUCUUAAAGGGUUUCCCUUUACGAAUUGUAGUUUAAAGAAGUGUUUUCUGUUGAGGUUUUGGUAAAAGUUCUUUGGAAUAGGACAUCAUAGAGGGUGAGAAUCCCGUAUUUGACCUUUACUUUCAACUUUGUGAUACACUUUCAAAGAGUCGGAUUGUUUGGGAAUGCAGUCCAAAAUGGGUGGUAAAUUUCAUCUAAAGCUAAAUAUUGGCGAGAGACCGAUAGCGAACAAGUAUCCGUGAGGGAAAGAUGAAAAGAACUUUGAAAAGAGAGUUAAACAGUACGUGAAAUUGUCAAAAGGGAAGCGUUUGACACCAGUGUUGUUUUUCUGAAAAUCAAUUAAAGAACUGUUUAUGCUAAGUUGUUUAGACUUUAUCAGCUAACUGUUUAGUUUUGAGCUUUUCUUUAAUGCACUUCUCAGUUAACAAGUCAACAUCAAUUUCUUUUGCUGUAAAAAAGCUUGAGGAAGGUGGCUUGAGAUUCGUCUUAAGUGUUUAUAGCCUCUUGCCUAUGCAGUCGGAGAGAUUGAGGUCUGCAGCGUAGAUCCUUCGGGGCUAAAUGCAUUUGUGCUAAGUUAUAGCAUUUUAUAGACAACUUGUUGACUAUGAUUUGUCUUGUAGCUUACUCGCUUAUGUUAUUUUACCUACGCUUAGGAUGUUGAGCGCAUGUCUCUCUCU